GGCGGGUAUGAGGGAGGCUAGCGGGGAGGGCCUUGCCCCAAGAGGCCCGGAGCGUGGACAGCGCACGGGGUGCUGAAUCAGGCACGGGGAGGAGGAGUGCCGGCAAGGGCGCCGGCCCGGGGAGGACGAACUCCCAAUACCGUGCGGGGGGACUAGGACGACCCUGGUAAGUCAGCCACAGGAUAUCAGUUCUCAGAAUAGAAGAGAAGCCAGGUCUGGCAGCACCUGAUGAUGGAGGGUUCUAUGUUUUAAUUGCCUGGAGGUUCCAUCCAAAAGCAGUCAGCCAACAGUGCAGUCCGUGAGCAGUGCGGUUACAUCUGUGGCACUGGGAGUGGUGCCUGGCCCUGCACCAAGAAGACCUACUGGUACUGCACGGUGAAAGCAAACUGGGUUCAGCAAAGGAAGCUCCCAUUGCUGCAUGGACAGCAUUUCCAAUUAAUCUUGGAAUGAGAGCCGAGGGCAAGAAGCCAGCGGUGCCUGAGGGAUGCUAAAGAGCCAACCGAUCCAGGGAAACAAAUGCCAGCGAGGGACCCCACAGCAAAGAGACAGACACUGUGAGCAACUCUCCUGUUACCAUGAGGCUUGCGAGGCGUGUGUGCGGGUCUCCGCAUUGGCACCAUCUGCCAAUUCCUCAGGAGGACAGAACAAACCAGUGAGGCAUGAAGAUUAGAUUAUGUAACGCUCGAGGAUUGCUGUUUUCAAAGAGGAAACAAAUGGAAUGAAUUGAUUUGCUUGUCAAAGUCAUGUCACUAAAGGAGAUCUAUUCCCUCCCCUUCUAAGAGGACCUCAUUAAAGAGUGGAAUGAUUUCACAGAUUC
Molecule: long non-coding RNA, 817 nt
Filed under: Homo sapiens (human)
Lineage: Eukaryota; Metazoa; Chordata; Mammalia; Primates; Hominidae
Description: HSALNT0195986
Source: RNAcentral